UUGAUGGAUUGUCAACUUCUAUUUGGAAAGAGUUAUUCAACAGCGAGCCUGAUGGGGAAAAGCCGUCGUGGCUAUUGCAGACCAGCAGCUGCUUUUAAGGUGUUGUUUGAGCUUUUGUUUGUUUCAUGCGUCCGGAUCAGAAGAAACUUUGGCAGGGAGGAAGCUGGUGAUCUGUGCAAGACAGACCGAAGGCAAGGAAAGGACUGUAUCAGUAAUGGCAAGAAGUCGGAUCUUUUAACUCAGCUGGUAAGUGCUUUUCCAUUCUGUUUAAGAGCUAACUAACAGGGCUAAUCCCAUGUGUUUCCCUCACAGGGUCGUAGAUGUUGUAAAUCCAUGGAAUGGAAGUGUUGUCUGCAGCAAUAAUGCCUUAAAAAAAUGGUGUGUGAGUUUGAUAUUGGAAGGUCGACAUGUUGUGUGAUGCUGUUUGGCGACUUCCAAAACUUGACCGAAGCAAACUGUACAAGUAUCUAGCACCAACAGGUAUUUCACUCUAGUAUGUUACCAUCACCCAUGUCGCUGUGCCUGGGAUUCCAUUGUGUAGGGGAAAGAGCAUGUAGAACGAUGGUGGAGCGAUCACGGCGCUUGGCGGUGCCGAGCUUUUCACAGUAAAGGUGUUCCCGUUUGCUCGUAAUGGUGUGGAAACCGCUAGUUUGAGCU
This 657-nucleotide long non-coding RNA is filed under the name Selaginella moellendorffii. RNAcentral describes it as "long non-coding RNA (SMOE_LNC000678)". Lineage: Eukaryota; Viridiplantae; Streptophyta; Lycopodiopsida; Selaginellales; Selaginellaceae. The record is from RNAcentral.